CUCUCUCUCUCUGUGUCUCCUGUUUCUCUGGCUCCUCCCACUCUUCCCACUCUGGCAGGUAGCUGACUGUCCUUUCCAGCUGCACCUACUUACCAGCUGAGAGAGAAGCAGUAUAAAAGCUGAGCAGAACGGUCAGAAGGGGAGAACUUCUCUCCAGAGCAUGUCCUUCGUCCAGCCCUGCCCAGCUCAGGUUGUUGAAGUCUUUUGGAGUGCUGUAUGGUUGUUAUCUUCAUUAAUCUGAAGAACUGUUGACUAACUCUCUGUUGCUGCCAGAAGCCCUGGAUGAAUCAGAGAUCAUGGCACACAUUCAGAUGAGCGUCAGUGUAAAGUCACUUACUGAGUCGACGGUGUUGAGGACGUGGACCGCAGCGACGAGACGGACACGCUUUCACUCCUGAGAACAAACACCAGAAUCAGGAGACAGAGGAUUAUGUUGGGUAUCAAAAACAGUUGUUUCUGCUGUGAACAAGAAUCAGAUAAAAUUCAAAUGAUACGCAACCCUACAGAUGAAGGAGAUUCAUGACGUCUGCUGAUGGAUCUCACCUGCUUGGGCUCUUCACGGCCGGCUGGAUCACUGGACUCUUCACACUGCUGCGGAAUCAAUAAAAA
Molecule: long non-coding RNA, 609 nt
Organism: Cyprinus carpio (common carp)
Lineage: Eukaryota; Metazoa; Chordata; Actinopteri; Cypriniformes; Cyprinidae
Exons: 3
Source: RefSeq, a predicted model, not a curated record